This 71-nucleotide transfer RNA is filed under the name Camelus ferus (Wild Bactrian camel). It matches the Rfam family "tRNA". From Rfam's summary of the family: Transfer RNA (tRNA) molecules are approximately 80 nucleotides in length. Their secondary structure includes four short double-helical elements and three loops (D, anti-codon, and T loops). The record is from Rfam by way of RNAcentral. Lineage: Eukaryota; Metazoa; Chordata; Mammalia; Artiodactyla; Camelidae.
GAAGGUAUAGCUCAGUGGUAGAGUGUGUGCUUAGCAUGCCCGAGAUCUGGGUUCAAUCCCCAAUGCCUCCA